This 273-nucleotide ribosomal RNA is filed under the name uncultured bacterium. RNAcentral's name for it is "partial 16S ribosomal RNA". It matches the Rfam family "Bacterial small subunit ribosomal RNA", at positions 524 to 796 of the family's 1533-position model. The record is from RNAcentral.
GACAGAGGCCACGAGCGUUAGGCGGAAUCACUGGGCUUAAAGCGUGUGUAGGCGGAGGCGUAAGUGUCUUGUGAAAUCCCACGGCUCAACCGUGGAACUGCUGGGCAUACUGCGUCUCUUGAGCCGGCCAGGGGUCACCGGAACAAGCGGUGGAGCGGUGAAAUGCGUAGAUAUCGCUUGGAACGCCAACGGUGAAAACAGGUGACUGGGGCCGCGCUGACGCUGAGACACGAAAGCCAGGGGAGCGAACGGGAUUAGAAACCCCCGUAGUCC